CUUUGUGGCUAUCUUGUAAUUAUAUAGUGUUUGUUAGGAUCGUAGUAGAAGCGUCGUUGCCUGUCGCAGCGACAGUUUCAGAUGCGCACAGUGUGUUGACUCGACGGUACCUCAUCACCUACUGCUAGCGCUAUUGCUCAUGUGUCUAACACUUCCUGGAACUCGCUUGGAACUAAGCGGUAUUCGCACAAAAAUCGGACCCCCACAAAAGUUACAGUAUGCGCUGUUAUCGAUGGCCGACGUUUUACUUGGCUGGGAUCGGCCAGAUUCAGUGUUGAACGAAACCUUUCGAUUCGAAAUUAUCUUUUGUCCACGAAAUUACUCUAAGCGGUUGGAGAAUAACCAGACUAGCCUGAUCAUCCGUAAAUGCAUACCCAACAUUCUAUACGUGGUUUCUAUAAAAGCUCUCGUAGAGCUCAACGGGAGCGACGAACACUACGGGCCUUCGACGAAUGCCACAUUGACCACCCUCACCCAAGAGCCUGGUCAAGUUCGAAAUCUCACGUUCAAUGCGGGCCCCACGCAUGCUUACCUGAGUGGAAGAUCCUUUUGGUUGUACCUGUCUGCUCUAAGAACCAUGUAUCUUUUAUUGUUCAUAACGCAAAAAGAAACGUGUACUAUACAUCGAAUUCCACAAGUUUACAAGUUAUAUAUUCAUUUGGAAGCUACAUACAAUGACGAGACACUUGAACGCGCGCGAAGCUGCAUCAGCGUUGUUACUGAUUCCGGCGUGCCAGGUUCCGUUCGACAUCUGAAGCGGUACAGGAAUCCUCAAGAAACACCAUCCUUGCAAAAAGACUUCGCUCCGUUUCUAAUGAAACAAACGGACCUAUCAAUUAUUACCUUGUACGAUCUUAUAGUCAAAGCCUCCCGCGACUCGAAGAAUUAAUAACAGAUCACACCAAUAACGCGGUGCGUAUAGAUCCGCCUCUAGCAAAAGCCAAUCAUAUGAUCGCUGUGACUUACAGGAGGAACUUAAAGGAGCUUUCACACCCAGUAGCGUAUCUGGAAGCUGAUCUUAUGUAUUCUCAGAUUAUGCAUCGGCGAAUUGUUCUGUCGUUAAGCAGAACACGAGGAACUUCACAUCGUUGAUAAUUUCGUUGUGUUUUUCGCGUAACUCUCGAAGUGUUAAUGAGGAAACAAAAGAGGGCGAGCUGAACCUAGCGGCAAUAUAUUUGCAACGGUACGAUAUUACUAUAGAAGCGAGGUACCGACUCCUGCUUAACGUGGCCGUCAAUCAAAAUGUAUCGGAGCUACUUUCAACACCCGAAAUAGAAACAUUACGGCUGAUGCAGCACCCACAAGCGGACAGCUCCCGUGGAUGAAAGUGCCGGCAAAUAUCAUAUCAUACAUGACAUCUAGCGAACAACUGAAACGGAAGGCUUAAUACCUUCUCAACGAUAGCAUCUACCUAGUUGUAACGUACCACAACCAGACUUAUGAAUGUUUACAUAAGUCUAAUUUCGUCUGCACCACUGCGGUUGACACGCCAAAACAAGUGAAGAAUCUUGAAAGUGACCGAUAUAACGAGCGAAAGCAAAAAUAUCAAGGUGACCUUCGACAGGUGCUUAAUGGCACAGAUGCGGCUAUGGCAGUGGACCAGCGUAUCCAACGACCAAAUUAUAGCAUCAUAGUACAAGCCACAACCAUCAGUCAACAUAAUCGGACGCUUGUGGGAAAAGAGACAGUUCGAAUUCACGAUGAAGCAAAGCGUUCAGUGCUACAAAUGCUAAAUUUCCUAUCAACUUGUUUCUACUUGGCGCCGUUUGCAACAUCGUCCAGACAGUUCAUGUCAAUCAUCACGGGACGGAUCUUUUAGGAAAGGAGGCCUCUAAUAAUUUCC
RNA transcript from Varroa destructor (honeybee mite), 1843 nucleotides. RefSeq lists it as uncharacterized. Lineage: Eukaryota; Metazoa; Arthropoda; Arachnida; Mesostigmata; Varroidae. The record is from RefSeq and is a predicted model, not a curated record.